GACGAACGCUGGCGGCGUGCCUAAUACAUGCAAGUAGAACGCUGAAGCUUGGUGCUUGCACCGAGCGGAUGAGUUGCGAACGGGUGAGUAACGCGUAGGUAACCUGCCUGGUAGCGGGGGAUAACUAUUGGAAACGAUAGCUAAUACCGCAUAAGAGUAGAUGUUGCAUGACAUUUGCUUAAAAGGUGCAAUUGCAUCACUACCAGAUGGACCUGCGUUGUAUUAGCUAGUUGGUGAGGUAACGGCUCACCAAGGCAACGAUACAUAGCCGACCUGAGAGGGUGAUCGGCCACACUGGGACUGAGACACGGCCCAGACUCCUACGGGAGGCAGCAGUAGGGAAUCUUCGGCAAUGGACGGAAGUCUGACCGAGCAACGCCGCGUGAGGGAAGAAGGUUUUCGGAUCGUAAAGCUCUGUUGUAAGAGAAGAACGAGUGUGAGAGUGGAAAGUUCACACUGUGACGGUAUCUUACCAGAAAGGGACGGCUAACUACGUG
Molecule: ribosomal RNA, 497 nt
Filed under: uncultured bacterium
Lineage: Bacteria
Description: partial 16S ribosomal RNA
Rfam family: Bacterial small subunit ribosomal RNA
Source: RNAcentral